RNAcentral lists this ribosomal RNA (232 nucleotides) under uncultured bacterium. Its description in RNAcentral is "partial 16S ribosomal RNA". It matches the Rfam family "Bacterial small subunit ribosomal RNA", at positions 99 to 334 of the family's 1533-position model. The record is from RNAcentral.
CGGACGGGUGAGUAAUGUCUGGGAAACUGCCCGAUGGAGGGGGAUAACUACUGGAAACGGUAGCUAAUACCGCAUAACGUCGCAAGACCAAAGGAGGGGACCUUCGGGCCUCUUGCCAUCGGAUGUGCCCAGAUGGGAUUAGCUAGUAGGUGGGGUAACGGCUCACCUAGGCGACGAUCCCUAGCUGGUCUGAGAGGAUGACCAGCCACACUGGAACUGAGACACGGUCCAG